This is a long non-coding RNA of Aedes aegypti (yellow fever mosquito), 502 nucleotides long. RefSeq lists it as uncharacterized. The record is from RefSeq and is a predicted model, not a curated record. NCBI's taxonomy places the organism in Eukaryota, Metazoa, Arthropoda, Insecta, Diptera, Culicidae. The transcript has 2 exons.
UAUAAAAUGUCUUGCAAAAUCGCAGUAUGAUUCAGUCAUCUCGGCAUAGUGCUGUUAGAAAGUGUUUUCUUAUCAAUUUGUGGAAGAAGUGAACCAGAAGAUUCUCCAAAAUGAAAUUCCUGAUCAUGACCAUCUGCCUGUUCGUUCUGGCUUUCGCCCUGGUGUCUGCCGCUACCAACGAUGAAACCAUCCUGGGAGGUCAUGGUGCCGAUGAGGUCGUCAACCCACAGGAUCCCUCGGAAAUCCUCCUGCUGAAGAAGAAGCUUCUGCUGAAGAAACUGCUGUUCCUGGGUUAAGCCGAUGCUUUUCGAUGCGUUACCCGGACCGUGUGCCAUUCCUAGGUUAAUUGAAAUACUCUAUAAGCCGUAUAGAUAUAUUAGGCAAAAACAGAAUCCUGUUUCCACCACACUAAUUUAAUCACAAAUCUGCCCAGUCAUGACAAUAGCCAAUAUGUUCAGAAUGAUCCUCAAUAAACGAAAUGCUUUGUACGAUAAGUAGGAAA